UACAGAGGGGGCAAGCGUUGUUCGGAAUUACUGGGCGUAAAGGGCGCGUAGGCGGCCUUCUAAGUCAGACGUGAAAUCCCCGGGCUCAACCCGGGAACUGCGUCUGAUACUGGAAGGCUUGAAUCCGGGAGAGGGAUGCGGAAUUCCAGGUGUAGCGGUGAAAUGCGUAGAUAUCUGGAGGAACACCGGUGGCGAAGGCGGCAUCCUGGACCGGCAUUGACGCUGAGGCGCGAAAGCUAGGGGAGCAAACGGG
Molecule: ribosomal RNA, 253 nt
Filed under: uncultured bacterium
Lineage: Bacteria
Description: partial 16S ribosomal RNA
Rfam family: Bacterial small subunit ribosomal RNA
Source: RNAcentral